Molecule: ribosomal RNA, 482 nt
Filed under: uncultured bacterium
Lineage: Bacteria
Description: bacterial SSU rRNA
Rfam family: Bacterial small subunit ribosomal RNA
Source: RNAcentral
AUUGAACGCUGGCGGCAUGCUUUACACAUGCAAGUCGAACGGUAACAGGUCUUCGGAUGCUGACGAGUGGCGAACGGGUGAGUAAUGCAUCGGAACGUGCCCAGUCGUGGGGGAUAACUAUCCGAAAGGAUAGCUAAUACCGCAUACGAUCUGCGGAUGAAAGCGGGGGACCUUCGGGCCUCGCGCGAUUGGAGCGGCCGAUGUCAGAUUAGGUAGUUGGUGGGGUAAAGGCUCACCAAGCCAACGAUCUGUAGCUGGUCUGAGAGGACGACCAGCCACACUGGGACUGAGACACGGCCCAGACUCCUACGGGAGGCAGCAGUGGGGAAUUUUGGACAAUGGGCGCAAGCCUGAUCCAGCAAUGCCGCGUGCAGGAAGAAGGCCUUCGGGUUGUAAACUGCUUUGUACGGAACGAAACGGCUCUGGUUAAUACCCGGGGCUAAUGACGGUACCGUAAGGAAUAAGCACCGGCUAACUACGUG